CCCUGUUAUAUAUAAAAAUAUAAAUUAUUAUGUAAUUGAAACUUAAAGUUUUUGGCGGCUAUUUAUUAUUUAGAGGAACUUGCUUGUCAUAGAAAUCACUCUUUAUAUUUUAUUAAUUUCUGCUUAUUUAUCUUCGUUAUUAGAUGAAAAUUAUUAAAAAAUUUUUUUUAAUAUUUCAGAUCAAGAUGUAGCAAAAAUUAGAAUAAGUUAGUUACAUUUAUGAAAUAAUGGAUUUUUGAUUUUAAAUAAAAAGUUGAAAUUGAAUUUAGUUGUAAAAGUUUCUAGGAAGAAGGUUUGAAACUUUAUAAUUAGUGUA
Molecule: ribosomal RNA, 316 nt
Filed under: Cynortellana pulchra
Lineage: Eukaryota; Metazoa; Arthropoda; Arachnida; Opiliones; Cosmetidae
Description: partial 12S ribosomal RNA
Source: RNAcentral